This 242-nucleotide ribosomal RNA is filed under the name uncultured bacterium. RNAcentral describes it as "partial 16S ribosomal RNA". It matches the Rfam family "Bacterial small subunit ribosomal RNA", at positions 535 to 776 of the family's 1533-position model. The record is from RNAcentral.
CUAGCGUUGUUCGGAAUUACUGGGCGUAAAGCGCGCGUAGGCGGACCUGCAAGUCGGGGGUGAAAGCCCGAGGCUCAACCUCGGAACUGCCUUCGAUACUGCGGGUCUCGAGUCCGGGAGAGGUAAGUGGAAUUCCUAGUGUAGAGGUGAAAUUCGUAGAUAUUAGGAAGAACACCAGUGGCGAAGGCGGCUCACUGGCCCGGUACUGACGCUGAGGCGCGAAAGCUAGGGGAGCAAACGGG